UACGUAGGGAGCGAGCGUUGUCCGGAUUCAUUGGGCGUAAAGAGCUCGUAGGCGGUUCGUCGCGUCGGCUGUGAAAUCCCGAGGCUCAACCUCGGGUCUGCAGUCGAUACGGGCGGACUGGAGUUCGGCAGGGGAGACUGGAAUUCCUGGUGUAGCGGUGAAAUGCGCAGAUAUCAGGAGGAACACCGGUGGCGAAGGCGGGUCUCUGGGCCGAUACUGACGCUGAGGAGCGAAAGCGUGGGGAGCGAACAGG
RNAcentral lists this ribosomal RNA (253 nucleotides) under uncultured bacterium. RNAcentral's name for it is "partial 16S ribosomal RNA". It matches the Rfam family "Bacterial small subunit ribosomal RNA", at positions 524 to 776 of the family's 1533-position model. The record is from RNAcentral.